This is a long non-coding RNA of Cyanistes caeruleus (blue tit), 5691 nucleotides long. RefSeq lists it as uncharacterized. The record is from RefSeq and is a predicted model, not a curated record. Lineage: Eukaryota; Metazoa; Chordata; Aves; Passeriformes; Paridae.
AGCACUAUUAGAAGUGUCAUUUUUCCUGCAAUUUUUUUUUAUACAUUUAUUUGGUAACUCUGAUGAUAUCCCAGUGGUAGAUUUUAGAGAAGCCAAAUUAAUGUUCUUGCUGUAUUGGUGUUACAUUGCUUUAUGUUUUAUAAACAAAAGGGUUUUUUAUUUAACUAAUUUUUAGAACCAAACAUUAUUUUGGCUUUUGAACAAGUGUUUAAGUGUUUGUGUGUAGCUGUUUGUGUAACUUGCUGUAUAUUUUGGUCACCCUUUAUUCUGAAAGCCCAGGGUAUGGUUUGGUGGUUGGAUAAAUCCACCUUUAUGAUUGACAAUAACUAUCAUGAAAAGGCUGUGACCACAUGACAGAAUCGUCUGUAAGGUUCACAUCCUGCCUGUUCACAUCAGUGUAAAAAAAUGUUGGUGGUUAAGUGCUAAAACAAAUGGCAUCAGGUAAGAAUAGUUAUUGUUUGCCUUCUGAUUAUCAGAAUAAUGUUAGCAAAAUGUGCAUCUUGUGCUUCACUUGAGAAAAUGGGGUUGUUUGCUCCCAUCUAACUGAUUGUUGCAUAGAAAAUGAAUGUUUCCUAGAUUUUUUUUUGUGAGGAGUUGGUUGGUUUCUAUGGCUUAGAAGACCCUAAUAAAAAAUAAAAAAUAAAAAAAUUAAAAAACAGAAAUGGGAAAGGCAAGGUUCAGAUGAUCAUAAACCCAAAGCCUAAUUACACAAGUAACAUUUAUAGGGAACUGUGUGGAAUUUCCAAACAAAGUAAUGUUUUAAAAAGCAGAAGUUGUUGCUUAUAAACAACUACAAUAAUGGCUUCUUACUGUAAGCCUUUGAUAAAUGAAACUGUUUGUGGAAUUUUACUUUCUGAGAUUGUAAUGGGAUGGGAUGUAUCUGAAGAAAGGAAAAGGAAUGCUUAGUGUUUGAAGUGCAGUGCUUUUCUGCAGUAAUAUUUGAGCUGGUAUUCUCUCUGGGAAUUAUGUACCUAGAGAGAAUCAAGGCUGGUACAGCAGCAGUGUUGACUUUUGGACAUAAUUUGGGGUAGUAGAUGUAUGCAUAUUGCAUUGUCUAAUUUUAUUCAGCAAACAAAUUUGAGAAUUGGUAUGAUGAAACUCAGAGGUGUUGGGGUUGAUUAGGAAGAGUAGGGAGACAAUUUCUGGUGUAUCAGCAGAUAGGCUGCUGCAAAGAAAGGAGAUGAAAUGUUGAGAAUAUUCUGAACUAUCCAUUAACCCAUUUGUGUAGUACAAAUACAAUCAAAUAAAUGGAGAAUAUUUCAUUUACAGAAAUGAAAGGAAGGUAUACAAUAUUCUAAAAUAACUGGAUUUUUUUUACUCUAAGAUUAGUAGCUUCUUAUUUUACCCACUUUAAUUUAGGCAGGUAAAUCAUUAAAGCUAAUUGCUAUCGUUGAUGAUCUCUGAAUCCAUAACCCCAUUACCCUCUUCGAUCCUAUUAUCAGUCUCUUUGGAGCUUGAAAAAAAUUGCAUUGCCUGAAUGGAGUUACAUGUUUUCAGGUUUCCCAAAAUUUCUAGCAAGAAAAUUAGGGUAACAUCUAGGCUUAAGAAAUUGUAUCCUUGUAUUUUGUAACAACUGUAGCAACGCUGCCAGCCUAAGGGCUACUGAAACUACAACUUGUGAGAUCCAGUCAGAAACCAAUCCCAAAGUGCUCACAGAAAUGUGCUGCAAAGAGAACCUGAAGAUGGGAGGGUAUGAAAGCAAUGCAGUGAUUUAAUUUUGUCUUGAAUCUUGAACUUUGAAGUCUUAGGCAGUAUUACACUUCGUUUUGCUGUCAGUUUAUUAUGAUUUGCCUCUGAUGCUCUGAAGCAAAAGACUAGAUAUGGUUUCCAUAGCAAUUACAACUAUCCGAAUAUGCUCGGAACUGCCUUUGCAUUGCUUCCAUUUUUCCAAGGAUUUUUAUUUACCAGAUGAAUGGUGCAAGGUAACUUUAUUAGAGAGCUGCAAGAGGGAUUUGUUGUGUGCUUUUGGGAAAGGGAUCAGCUAUCUUAGCCAUGGUAUUUGUCAAAUUUUGCAAUUAAAAAACUACCAUCAUUGUCUCCCCACAUUUGUAACCUAAUGGAAUAUGUAAGAGCACCACAGCCAUUGCACUUCAGAGGGCAUCGGCUUCAUGCAGCUGGGUCAGAGUCCGAGCUGUGAGUGGUUGAGCUGUGUGCACAUGCCUAAUUUUCCUGGCUCUUCUUCAGAGUGGAGACAAACAGAGCACGUGGUGUCACAGCUUGUAAAAUCCUUUCAGUCUGUGCACUAACAGAACUGAAGUGUGCUGUGAUAAAAAAAGAAAGUACUGUCAAGUAGAUUUGGUCCAAUUUUGUGCUGGCUUUUGCCCUUUUGAUGGUGAUCCCUUGACAGGACUUCCAAGUUAUGACAAAAUUCUCCAGAUGUUUGCUAUCUAUGUAUCAUUUUCUGAAUUAUACUCUAGUGAUACAGCAGCAAUUAAUUGUUCCACACAGUGACUUUUACAAACCAAAGAAGCUCACUUCUUUUGGAAGUUAACUUAAUUCAGCACUGGGAAUUGCCCAGUAGCUCACUGGGAAGUUAUGGAAACAAAACCAGAAGAGCAUGUGUCAUACAUGGGAACUAUUAGAGCUCUUCAUCAGAAAUAAAUGUCUGUCUUGACUCUUCUUACACUUCAUCAAAUUCAGAACAUCAGUUGUCCUAUUACUUGCUAUUUCCUGGCAGAUCUUCUACUGUGUAAUCUCUGAGCUCUAAUAUUUUGUGUGUCUUCCCUUGCCCACUCUCUACUGACACAUGAUUUGUGGUUUCUCCUAACCAAGGUAAGGCUCUAACUUUCUUCUAUAGAGUUACACCUUGUAUCUGAUUAUUUGUAGUUUGUUUUGUGUCAAGUUCCUGUGUACUCAUACAGCCAGAAACCAGCAAGCUACGCAGAUUUGUUAUGAGAUAAAGUGUCUGACUCUCUAGAGUGGCACAGAUGGAACGGUGCUACUUUCACUGUGGAUGUGCUACUAAAAUUUAAAAGGAACAGCAUGAAAAACAUCUUAUCUGUCAGAGAAGAUUCUCAUUGAAAUGUCUGUCUUUGGAAUCCAAAAAUGGUGACUGAAUACAUAAGGUGUUUGUUAAGGAAUUAACUCAAGCUGUUCAGCUCUUUUUCAAACUUUACUGUGACAGAUAAACUAAAUAUUCUUUGGAUUUUUUUAGAAAUAUUUUUCUUAUGAAAAAUAGAUCUGUGUAGAAUUUCUGCUAAAGUUUGUCAGAGCUUUUCAAAGUAACUACUUACUUUGUACAAGCACUUUAGACAAGAAUUUAGAAUUGAAUUCUAGACUCAGUCACGAGAUGUGGAAAUGCUACUGCUGUGGAUCCUAAGGAAUCAAAGUUAAUUGCAGUAAUUUACUGCUGAGCUGUGUGGUGCAUAAAAUCAAAAUAUAUAGACUGACAAGAAAAUCUAAAGUCAAGCAUAUUCAUUUUAACAAAUGAAUGGUACAAUUUCAGUACCAUUAAUAACUCAUUAUGGGUAUUAUUUCUUCUGCUAUGCCUCCUUUGACACACUCUUGGUGUACCAAAUCUGCCUCCUGUUCUUUUUUUGUGCUGUUAACAAUCACUGUCUCCCCUCUGGAGGUUUUUCACAGACCUCAAUCCUCUCCACACUGCACAAAACCCAUUUUACUUCUGAAAACAAGGCCUAGCAGGGCUCCUCUCAGGAUACAAUGCCUAUGGGGUGAGAGACAGAGGCCAGUCCUUCUCCAUGGGCUGUGGGGCUAAGGUAAGAGGUGGUGGGACUGACACUCCUUACAGAUGGAUACAAUUCAAAAACAUCUUCAGGGAAGUUUGAACUAAUUUUUUUCUGCAUUUCACUGUAUGCCCUUUUAAAAGCUUUUUUGGCUGCAACAUGUUGCAAUGUGCCCCUCCUGUGCUGUCAGACCAUGUGCUUAAUGCUGGUUUUUACCUUCCUGGAGAGCCUCCUGUAGUGGCAAUUUUGGACAGAGAGCUGAAGAUGGAAAAAACCUCUGUCCUUUACAUCCUUUUUUUUCAAGCAGUGCUGCUGUUCAAGCCCCAUUCUGUCUUUGAAGACCUCUCCUAUUUAUUUAAUUUUGAUUUUUUUUCCUUUAGUGAGCAGAAUGCUCCUCAGAAGAGAUAGCUUCAAAACUGUCAUAGAGGUGCUCACUCAUAAUUGUUUCACAGCAACAAGAAUACUUCUGAGAGGAAAAAAGAUCACUUCAAGACCUAAUAAAAUGAAAUCAAGUCAAUACUGUUCCUGAAAUUUCAUACAAGAAAAAAGCGUGGCACAGAGGUUUACGUGGAGUCCAUGCUUUUGGUGCUGGUUUUUGAUGUCCCAACUGUUCCAAAGCUCUCAAAAGGACGAAGAUUCUGUAACAAGGGGUGCAGGGGUACUGCUGCAAGUGACCACAGCUGAACUGGGGAUCUGAAAACUGGCAUCUGCAGUGCUGGUAUGUCUGCUUGGGCAACAGCAGCAGAUUCUUGAUAUGUAGGGAAUGGGAAAGAACAGCAUUCACAUUGAUUUGGCUUUUUGUGUCCUUUAAUUAUUGAUGGUUCAGUCAUCAAAGAAUAAUGUGGAAAACACUUUAACCAGUAACUGGUAAUGCAAAUUAUCCUUGAGCUCAUUCAGACAUUGUUUCUGUAUUCAAUUCCUGUUACUACACCAGGUCUCCUAAAUUUGCUUCAGUUUCUUUGUCCUCAAAUGUUCAUCUGGCAGAGUUGGUUUUGGUUUAGCUCUUUUGUUUCAGCUGAGUGAAUGGUAAGUUUUCUACUUUCAUAUCCAGAUAUCUAUUUGUUUUGCAAGUCUACCUCCUAAACACCUUGCUUGGUUUUAGGUUCCUCUCUCUACAGGAGUGUGUGAUCUGUUGUUUCUAAACUUACCCAUUCCUUAUUGUGAAUUUUAACUUGGGUCUCUGCAGAUGAUCAGAACAGAAGCUGAUGGAACAGGUAAACAAACAAGAUUUUCAACCCUUCUGUAUUAGAAUACAGUUUUGUAUGAAAAAACUUCUAUAGUACUGUAGAAGCUGCACUCAAAAUAUUUAGAGCAGAACAGGAAUUUGUUGAGAUGGACAUGAAUGUAUUUGUAUUCAGGAAUAACCUCAAUGUGGUUUUGUUUGAAAAUUCCUUUUGUCAUCAGUGUUCUCUUCUGGUAAUGCUAGUAUGGAAGUCAUUUGGAAAUGCAUAAAAUGCUUAUAUUUGUAACAGUUUUGGGAAAAGUAGUGCACAAACCAUGAAGGGAACCCCCCCAGAGCAACAACAUCCACCCAACCAAAUCUUUUGUUGUUGCAAUGUGCUGAUGUUUGGCUUAUUAAAUAGGAGGAAAAGCCUGGAGAAUAAUAUAUCAGGAAAAGUGUUCUCUGUGAUUUAAUAAAAUGGCUACUGUCAAAUACUCAAUUUUUUAAUUUGUACAACGUAGAUACCAUUUUCUGUUGUUUUAGACUGGAACUUUAGUGAAGGAAACUAAUAACUAAGCAUUCUUCCACUCACUUAUAUAAAAUUUUGUCUUCAAAAUUCCUCAAAGUUAUUUACCUAUAGAGUUACAUCAUUAAUUAUUUAGGGAAUAUUAUCAUGGGCAUGUGUGGAAAAUAACUCUGUAAGUAAAUGACAGAACGCAUUCCUCAAAAAUCAUGGUACAGGGUGUUUACCUUUUCCUUUUCCAUCUGUUUGGGCCUGUUCUUUCUGUUACAUUUACUAAGAGAUGUCCCUCAUAUAGAGUGUCACCACCUUCAUGUUAUUCUGCU